This 25955-nucleotide long non-coding RNA is filed under the name Populus trichocarpa (black cottonwood). Its description in RNAcentral is "long non-coding RNA (PTRI_LNC004425)". Lineage: Eukaryota; Viridiplantae; Streptophyta; Magnoliopsida; Malpighiales; Salicaceae. The record is from RNAcentral.
CUCCUCAUCGGGCAGAUUCUCAUAAUAAGCUCCAGCAGCCCGGCGAAUCUCCUCCAUAUCUAUUUAUGCGUGUAAUAUUUAAGAGGAAGAAGAUUUAAGAGGAUAACGGAAGAGAGGUAGCUUAGAUCAACAAUUUUAACACUCCAAAGGGACUUUGGUCUGCAUCUGAUCACAAAGCUCUCAUGUUCGAUAGUGAUUUAUAGUACUGGCAAGUGACCACACAAUGAAGAAAUAUUAAAGAAUUGAAGUGAAUUUGGGUGUGGAUUAUCAUUGUGAAUUUGUAUGGGACCUUUGGUAUCUUCAAUAAUUUAACUUUCUCACACAACACAUGAAACACGACUCCCGUGUCAGAGUCCAUGCAAACCCAGCUACUACUAUGAGAGCCCCCCACAAAUUUGUUUUUGGAGACAAAGAUCUUUUCUUUUAUUAAUUCCACCGUACCCAUGAAUUAUUUAUUUCUCCUCAACCCUUCUCUAUCAACAACAAAAGAAAACAGUAGCUAUUAUUAAUGAGACAGUGUAUUACAAAUUUCUUCUGUUCGAUAGUGAUUUAUAUUACUGAUAAGUGACCACACAAUAAAGAAAUAUUAAAGAAUUGAAGUUAAUUUGGAUGAUUUGCAAGAUAUUUUACCUAUGUUAGGUUUUUUUGGUAUUAUGUUCCAACCGUGUUUUUAAAUUUUUUAUAUUUAUAAAAAAUAAAAAAAUUAUUAUUUUGAUUUAUUUAUAAGUAAAAAGCCUUUUAAAAAAUAAUUUAUAUCACAUUAUUAAACACUAUAUCACAUUAUUAAACACUAGAUGUUGUUGUGAACAAUAAAAAUUGAUGAAAAAAAAAAGUUAAAAAUAAUAACAAUAAAAAACCCAAACAAGCUUAUCUCUCCAUUCCACCGUCCCCAUCAAUUAUUUAUUUCUUUUCCACCCCUCUCUCUCUCUCUCUCUAUAUAUAUAUAUAACAAAAAAAACAGUAGCUUGAUGUUGUACAUGAUGGGACCUUUGCUAUCUUCAAUAAUUUAACUAUCUCACACAACGCAUAUGAAACACGACUCGUGUCAGAAUCUUGAAGAACUCUAAUGUGCUGAUGCAUACCUGCCCACGUCAUUAUAUUUUAUUAAUUUAUUAAUAUUUUUAUAAAAUAAAUUAUAAAAAAGAAUCCAAGAACAUAUCAUUAUUAUAAAAAAAGCUGACAAAGAUAAAAAUGCUUUUCAAGUCAUUCUCAAAUUUUGAAAAGUAAAAGGUUAAGUAUAUAAUUUUAGUGUGAAAAAAAAGUUAUACAUGAUGGGACCUUUGGUAUCUUCAAUAAUUUAAGUGUAGAGUAUCGUACAUGAUGGGACUUUUCGUACAUGAAACCCGAGUAUUGAAGGCCAUGUAAGUAUAGAAUUAGUUAUUUUUAAAUUGUUUUUUUAUUUAAAAAUAUAUUAAAAUAAUAAUUUUUUAUUAUUUUUAAAACCAACAUAUUAAAAUAAUUUAAAAAUAUACUAAAAAAACAAAUUUUACCCCAGCACCAUACAUAGUUUCAAUCGGCACCCAAGUAGAAUCACACACAAUUCAUUUUUAUUCUUGUAUUACCAAGUUAACUCUAACCCUUACAACCUUAUGUCUCCCUUUCCUCGUACUAGCCACCAGCAAAUACAACCUAUGAGAGGCCCCCAUAAAUUUGUUUUUGGAGACAGAUCUUUUCACCGUACCCAUGCAUUAUUUAUUUCUCCUCAACCUUCUCUAUCAACCACAAAAGAAAACAGUAGCUAUUAAAGAGACCACACAACUUUGGUAUCUUCAAUAAUUCCACGAUCCCACACCAAAGGAAACACGGUUCACGUAUCUAAGUCAUGAAAAGCCGAGUUGCAUUUUUCCAAGGAACAUGACAAACUGAAUCUAGCUAGGAUAGAGUUUUUGGUAAGUUAGCACCCUUAAAAAAAAUAUUUUGUAAAAUAACACAAGCAAAACAAUAUUUAGAAAUCUAAGUAUAAUUGAGAGUAUUAUAACUGGCAUGUGCCAUCAGUAAGGAAUGACUUCUGACCCUCCAUUAUUGUAGAUACAAUCUACAACAUGCAAGUCAUAAAUGUCAAUUGCAACUCACAUGUCACAUAAGGUAUCUACGACUUCUUUACCAGAGAUAUCAGGUUAUAAUUUAUUUUGUCAUCAUCUCUCUUUCCUGAAAAAACUGCAUUGCGCACAAUCACAAAUAAUCAAUUUCCAAGCAUCAAAAUACAAUUCACAUGAGCAGUACAUAACUAAGUUAUGAAUCAAUAUGUUGAGUCAUCCAAAUGUAACUAAGUUAUGAAUAUAGGUCCCCAUUUCUCCAUGAUGUCUUUCUUUUCUCAAAAGUUGGAGUGUUGAUAGUAAACAUCGAUGGCUUUUUCGCUCUUACUUACUUGAGUACUAUCUUGUGAUCUUGACCUCUAGGAAGGACUUGAUGUCAUCAUACUUCUUUGUCCUCCGCCCUUUAUCUCAAGGGUUGCCCAUUUUGCCCGGUAUUUCUCUUAGAAAGGGAAUCAUGGAGCCAGCCUUACCAUGCAUUUUUUUGAUUGCCCCCAAGCUUGAUCAUGCCCUCAAGUGUUCAAAUCGGGUUUAGGGAUGAGGCUAUGUGAAGGAAGGUUUGGCCAGGAGUUGUUUUCAUGCAGAAAUUUUGGAAUUUCAAAGCUAUUCCAGACACAGAAAUCAUUUUGACAUUGAUUCAAAGCAAACUCUUUCUAAAGAAAUUCAAGUGAUUCCUAUGGAGAGGUUUCCAGAAGUGAUGAAAACUUUUUGUUUUGCUUUUGGUGAAAAAUAUGAAGUGACAUUUGGUUGGUCAAAAAAGUUUAAGAUUUAAUUUGAGAGUUACUGAGAACCGGUCUUCAAAGCAUUCAUUUUAUUUGCAUGAAUAAUGAUUUUGUUUCGCAUGAGGAAGCACUGCCUACCGAUCCAGAUUGCUUGUCUUUGAUCAGAAAGGGCUUGAUUAGGCACGUAAUGUAGGCUCGGGCUAUUGGUUAUGAAGAAAAUGAUAUUUGCAAGCUCAAAAGGUGUUUAAGGGAUUUCAAGACUAAGGAUCACUUGUGCUUGUUUGCUGACCUUUUGUCUUUGGAAUGUCUUUCCAAAAUGGUCUAUCGUGCCCCCUAGUGUUGGGCUUGGGCUCUUUCCCUUUGUUUUUGUUUUUUUUUCAUUUGAUUUUGAGCAUCAUUGUAUUGGUUUUUUUUUUUUUGCUCAAAAUUUUUGGAUCCUUUGGAUUUUUUUUCAUGCCCCCAAGCUUUGUUUGGACACUUUUGAUGAUUGAGAAUUUUCUUUUAUGCCCUCCAGUGUUGUUUGGGCACUUUCAAUCAUUGAGGUUUUUUUUUUCUAUGUCUCUUGCACUUGCCCCCAGUGUAGUGUGUGAUCCUAGCCACAGCUAUUUCCAAAAAAUGUUACUAGGCUCAAAAGGGGACUACAAAUGAUAUAUUUUAGCCUUGUGAAAAGAUUAUCAAAGAUGGCCUUUCUUCAUUCCAAACUCAUGCAUUUAAGAUCGGUAAGUCUUGCUUUCAUGCGAGUAUGCAACGUGAUUUCUCAUUAUUCAUUUAAAUAAAACUCAACUUUGGAGUCAUUUCAUGGUGUUUUUGUUUUUUUAGGUGUAUUGUUACCUUUCCAAGGAAUCACCUGCAUUUCCAGAACUCGUUUGUUUCGGACAAAUAUCAACAUGAUUUUUGUUUUUGUACUAAACUUUGAAUUCCCAAAAAUCCUUGUGUGCGAUCAUGCAUAGUUUUGGAAGAAAGGGGAAACAUACCUAAAUAUUCUUGGUGUAAUGGUUUCAUGCUUAAAGGUUAUGUUCAAUGUGUUAUUUGCAUGAAACAACAACAAAAAUGAAGGCAUGUCAUGAACACAGGAAAACACAUGAUCUUAUUAACAAGAAAGGCUCAUUUGACAAUGAAAGUCUUAUGAAAUUUUAAGCCACAUUACCAACAAAAACCGGAACAGGUUGAAACAACAUCAAGAAGUUUUGCAGGCAUGAUCAAACAGAGGUAUUUUUUUUUUCAGAACAAGAAGAGGCUCCAUUCUGCACCGGUGGUGCAAUUCCCCUUCGGUUAGCCUUCCCACAAAAGCUUUUUGUAGAAAUGCUAGAUUGUGUUGAGGCAUCUUGACCAUGUUUGCCCCCAAUUUUUUCAGGCUGAGUCGUUGUUGGGUUUUGAACAAAGAUGAACGGUCGGUUGGAAGGAACUUUCAUAGAGUUAUUUUUCAGUAUUUGCUCGAGUAAGCUAGAGGCGAGUCACACAUGUCUUCAGAAACUCCAACUCUUCUUAAAAAUAGACAUUACGGCGAGCACACUCUUCAUCUUCCGUGUUUUUUUUCGUUCAAAAUCGAGUGUUAUAGACUCGUAGGGGACCUACUUUUCAUUCUGGUGCAUGCAUGAAAAAUGUAUGAACAUGUAAUCUAUAUGAUGAACUCGCCCUUCGAGGGGUGACAUAUGGUCGUAACUCUUGUAUGAUGAAACAAGAAUCGUGAUUCUUGCCCAAACUCUACAAUGAAAAUUUUCUGAGUGACGGCUAUUGGGUCACCCACAAGUCUUGAGUUCAAGAUGCUUCAAGAAGGGUUUGUCUUGAUGCAAAUAAAAAUAGCACAUACAACCUAAGGAGAGGUUCUAUUCAUUAUGUGAACAUGGGUAGGUUUUCUACCUGGUCUCAAAAGGGUCUCAUAUCUGCCCAGUGACGAUCUUCGUAAAGACAGUAUAGGGGCGUUGCAAGAAAUAGUUAAGGUACGUAUACCCACCAUUUCCAAGCAAGCACUCAGAUAUGAGUUCGGUUUUUCACGCAUCUGAACCCUGACCAAUAGUCAUAGGACAGAUCGCUAAUUCACCACCUAACUUAGAAGCUUGUGUGUGCUUUCAAAAAUAAAUACAGGUGAUGCAUGAAACAAUUCUAAAAAUGCAUGGAUAAAACAAAAAUAAAACAAGACAAAAAUGCAAAAACUUAAACACAUCAAAUAUACAAAGCUUAGUCCAAUAUUGUCAGAAACAGUACCUUCCCCAGUGGAGUCACCAUUCUGUCGCAUGUGAAAUCCGCGCGGCGUCGGCUGGCGAUCUUUUCGUUGUCGUUGCGUUUGCUUGACUUGAUUCGUUGGAGUCGCCACCUAGUAAUUUAUUAAAGGCUACUAGGAAACCGGAUGUACUAGUCUUGUCAGAGAUUCGCGGGUAAGGGACUGGUUGUGGUUAGGGAAGGUAUUAGCACCCCUAACGCACCCUACCUGAGGUAAGCUGCUUCGCGAAUUUGAUGUGUUUAAAGAAGUUUUAAUAAUUGUUUUUUCAUCGGAUAUUAGAAAUACAACUUACGUAUAAGUUAAUAAUUCUUGACUNNNNNNNNNNNNNNNNNNNNNNNNNNNNNNNNNNNNNNNNNNNNNNNNNNNNNNNNNNNNNNNNNNNNNNNNNNNNNNNNNNNNNNNNNNNNNNNNNNNNNNNNNNNNNNNNNNNNNNNNNNNNNNNNNNNNNNNNNNNNNNNNNNNNNNNNNNNNNNNNNNNNNNNNNNNNNNNNNNNNNNNNNNNNNNNNNCAUUAAAAAAUUUGAAAAUUACAAACAGCCCCCCAAAAUCCAUAACAGUGCUGGAAAACCUUCUGGAUCUGCAUGAACAGUGGCGGCGCGUCUUCCACGCGCCACCGCCACUGGCGGUGCGUGGGUUCACGCGCCGCCGCAAACAACGCCUGGAAAAUGGACGGAUCUGGUCGGCUAUCUUCUUCUCUUCCCUUCCCUGACGGUUGUGAGGAACACCAUUACCUGCAAUAAUAGAAAACGCACAACACAGUCGAUUUUAAUUUUUUGUUUUUGUUUUGCAGAUCUGCUUCUCUGGUUCAGUUUUUUUCUGCAGCUCAGUGUUUUCUUUUCGUUUCCCCUUCUUCUCUGUUUUCAGGCGGUGGGCUGUGUGACCAAGGGGCUGUCGGAGGUUGUGCUUCUGUUGCAUCUGGCCGGCGAAGAUGGAGGAGAAUGAGGUGGUCUGAUCGUCGGCUUCAGUUGUCUUUGCUGCUGUCGCCUGCGGCUGCUGGAGCUGCGGCGGAGAUGGGAGAGGUUGUGUUCGGUUGUCCGGGGAAGAAAAGGUAUUGUUGGGUCUGUCGGGUUAAAUUUGGAAGAAUGGUUGUUAAGAGGGAAGGGAAUCAAGAAUCCCAAAGGAAGGGGGCGGCGCGGGCUGGUUCUAAUGAGCUUUUGUUUUUUGUGCAGGGAGAGAAGGAAAGGAAAUGGCGUUUGGCAGGGGGAAUGUGGGUAUGGUCUGUGGGUAGCGACUGGAGGGGGCUGUGGGUUUGUUGCCGGCUGCUGAGGGGAAGAAGAAAAUCAAAGGGGAGGGGCGGCCGGCCUCUGUAAACAGGGAAAGGGAGGCUUGCGGCCGCCCCUGCUCUCUCUGGUUUUUUGCUCAAUGGGAAGGGGGGGCGCCGCUCCUUUAAAAAAAGAUAGGUUUAGGGUUAGGGUUUUUUUUUUUUGUAUUUUUCUGAUGUUUCAAAAUUGCUCCCUCCUCUUGAGUGUGUUGAAGGUUACUAUUUAUAGGCAAAAUGUUGCUUGGGCCUCAAAAUUGGUCCCUUAACUUCUUUUUUUUGUAAAUUUUGAUUUUUUCUUAUUUUUUUGGAUUUUUCUUAUCAACAUCGUCUCGAGUGAGGAAAAUCAGUGAUUUUUAAAAAUAACGCGUUAAAAGUUGAACGCGUUCCAAAUAUCUUUGAAAAUUUAAAUUCUUUUGAGACGAUACUAAAAAUGCUAAAAACGAUGCAAAUGCUAAAGACUAAUUAAGGUUUUCUCGUAACCAUAAUUGAUGUGGAUCAGCCCACGAACACCAAUAAGUAUCUAUUGCAUGUUCUAAAUGAGCCAAUUACAAGGUCCAAAAUAAAGACAUUGAAAGAAGUAUUAAAUAGACUAGUCUUGCAAGUUUCGGCCAAUGCAGAAAUUAGAGGUCCAUUGGAGCAUCAAGAGGAGGCCUUAGCACAUUUAAUUAAUUUGCAAGAGGUGUCAAAUUCCAUCUUAUUUGAAAAGAUAAAAUCGACAAAAAUAUAUUUAAAAAAAAAUCAUAGCAAAAAUUCAAAAAAAAAAAAACAGAAAAAAGAAAGCAAAACAUUGUGGAUUACUAUUGUAAUCCACAAUGAGUGUUGGAUGAACAAUGGUUUCCCCCAUAUCCUUUAGUUUUUGUUACUUCAUAAAGUUUAAUAAUAUGGUUUUUCUAUAAAACUAUUUUCUUAUUAACAAUAUAAGAAAAAAAUAGACUAUAAAAAAUCAAGUUUAAUUAAAAAAAAACCCCACCAAAUCCAUAAAUUGGGAUAACGUGGGUUCCCUUGACAAACCCGGAAACCACGCUAACCUCAUAGAAAGACAAAAGAAAAGGAAAAAAAUUACAAAAUUAAAUUCUUAACCAUUUCAAUAUUAAAAAAUAAAAUUGAUAAAAUUUUUUUUUUUUAAAUCAUAACAAAGAAACAAAAAGAAAAGGAAAAAAAAACCAUGUGUUCAAAAAAUAAAAACAAUGUGCGGAUUAGCAGCUUUAAAUUUUGAACUUACAUAAAACAAAAUAAAAAAAAAGUGAGAUUAUAUAACAAUUAUUCAUUAUUUGUUAGUAGAAAAGAAGGAAAAUUGAAACGGCAGAAUAAAAAGAAGUGUUGUAACAUUGUUUUACUUUUUACCAGUUCACUCGUGGGUCAACUCGCAUGAACAGGAUCCAGUCUCUUAGCUAUGCCUAAAGGAGACUCAACUCAUCUUUUAAAACCAUGACCAUAGGUCAUUAACCCACACAUGCAUUAGAUUUCAUUGUAUAAAAUUAAUAUUUAGUUGCUUAGGGGCUCCAAUUUUCAAUUAAAUUUCAUUGUAUAAAAUUAAUAUGUUGUUACUGAUAAAGAGAUUGUAUUCUCAAGUGCCAAAAAUCAGGGUUGAGUGUUUGAUAUUAAGAUACAAGCUGCUUGUUAAAAAUAAUUUUAAUACAUGAGAAUGUUUCACCCAACCUAGUUUGCAUUUGCCCCUCUAAAGCUGCUAUCAUUAAUGAAUAAUGAUUUAGUUGAUCUCAAACAACCUGCAUCUCCUGAUCAUCAUCACAGAGAUUGUAUUGGCCAAUUACUCCACAAUUCUCUUCACGAUUUGUCAUUGAUCCGGAUGUUGACCUGCUCUAAUACCACCUGACAAAACAUAUAGCGAAGAUAAAACUAGAGAAAAAUUUCCACCUGACACAGCCUGUAUCCCUUGAUCAUCGUCACGGAGAUGGUUAUCUAUCUUUAAGGUUACAAAUCAAACUGUAGAGAAAUCUAGAGAAAUUGUUCAGGUAUUUUUAUUGAAUCUAAAUAAUACUAUUAAUCUCUAUAAAAUAAAUUAGACAUCUCUAUUUAUAUUUAUUUAUAAACUGGUGCUUCUACUAAUGUUGUAUCUAUUGAUAUGGUAAGCAAGCUUAUCCUUAAGAUGGAAGCAUACCCUCAUCCCUACAAAUUGAUGUGGUAGGAAAAGAAGCAUGAGCAUAAAGUAACAAAUAGAUGUCUUGUUUUAUUUUUCUUUGGAAAACAAAUAGUGGUGUGAUAUAAUUCAUAUGGAUGCAUGUUAUUUGUUGUUUGGUGUUCAUGUAAUAUGAUAGGAAAGUUCAGCAUGAUGGCGUUAAGAAUAAUUAUUGUUUUAUGAUGCAGUAGUGAUUGUUUUAGUUUUUAAGCUUUUAAUGUAUUUGUUUGUAUUUUCAACAAGUCAAAAAUGUGUCUUAGUUAUUACUUUCUAGAUUCAAGUCAAAGUUAUUUAUUUUGAUCUUAAUUAUGUUAUUUUUGUUUUUCUCUAGGCUUGAAGGGUUGUUUCUAUCAGGAAAACAUGCAGAGAAUCUGCUCAAAUCAACACAAAGAAGGAAUAGCAGAAAAUCAUGGCACAGACUCUGCCAUCAACGCUAGAACGUAAAAUCUGCAGCUGUUUAUUGUAAUAGCAUAGUUUUAGCAUUACCAUUUAUUUGUUUCCAAAACUGAUUCCACGCUGCUGUAUAUAUUGCACACAAUAAUUAUCAAUAAGAUGAGGUGAAUUACUUAUUGAAACAACUGUUGUGUUGAAUCUCUAUAUGGUAUCAGAGCACUCAAAUUCUAACGAAUCACCGAUCAAAAACACCACAAUGUCAUCAUCCUCCAAUCAAAACCCAAAUUUCACCCUCAAUACCCAACCCUCUUCCACAGCAGACAAACCACUCAUUGCUUUCAAUAUCACAACAUAGAUCAAUGAAAAAUUAACCCCCUCCACCUUCCCUCAAUAGCGUGCUCAAUUUGAAGCAGUUCUUAUUGGUUACGAUCUACUCGACUAUGUCGAAGGCACACUUAUGUGUCCCUCCUCCUCUGGCACCGCCACUGAUGAGCUCUGCAAGCUCUACUGGGUCCGGCAGGACAAACUUAUUCUGAGUGCUAUUCUAGCCUCCACAUCAUCCUCAAUCACACCACUCAUUGCUACGGCAAAAACAUCUCAUGAAGCUUGGAAAAAGCUGAAAAAUCUAUAUGCUAGCCGAUCAAGAACUCGUGCUAUGCAGUUAAAGGAGGAACUCACCUUAAUCCAGCGUGGACACCGGUUAAUUACAAAAUAUCUCCAUGCUGUGAAGACCUUGGCUGAUGAAAUAGCCAUUAUUGAUCACUCAAUUUUAGAUGAUGACCUAACGCUUUAUGUAUUGAAUGGUUUAGGUUCAGAAUUUCAGGAGAUUGUAGCGCCUAUUCGAGCCUGAGAAUCACCACUGACAUUUGAGGAGUUGCAUGAUCUGCUGGUGGGACAGGAGGCAUAUCUGAGGCGUUUGGAAACAGCAACGCAGCACCUAGUAGCUCCCGCCAACUACACAAAGACGAAGCCUUCUAAUUAUAGAGGGAGUCAACAGUGGUCCCCCAAACAAAAUGACAACCCUUGGGGGUAUCAUGGUGUUCCAGCACAGGCAGAAAUUUUAGUGGCACUCAACGUGAUGGACGUCGUUUUAAUUCUGGCAGAGCCAACAACUUCAAUCGACGCUAUCAGCCCAAACGCCAAAUAUGUGACCAAUUUGGCCACGUUGCAAAGUCCUGUCCUCAGUUUCAUCCACAGAAUGUAUCUGUCAAUUGUGCCACAACCUUUACUGGGAAGAACAAUAAUUGGUUACUUGAUUCGGCCGCUUCAUAUAAUAUCACGGGUGAUCUUUCCAAUUUAUCUGUUCAUUCCGAAUAUGAUGGAACUAAUGAAGUAAUACUUGGUGAUGGCUCAGGUUUGACAGUCUCACAUAUUGGUUCUUUGAAUUUACAGUCUACCCACCAAAACUUUACACUCCAUGACACCCUCUAUGUUCCAAAUCUUCGCAAAAAUUUAAUUUUUGUUCAUCACUUUACCAAACAAAAUAAUGUUUUUGUUGAACUUCAUCCUUUUCGUUUUUUAUGAAGGACGCGACCACGGGGGCGAUUCUACUAAAAGGAGUGUGUAACAAUGGCAUCUAUAUCUUUCCGGAUUCAAUGGUGACGCCCCAAAAAGUUGCUAAUGUGCAUGAACGGACUUCCAUUGAUGGAUGGCACAAGCGUCUUGGGCAUCAUUCACUCAAAAUUGUUCAUCAUCUUGUUAAGAAUUUUUCCCUUCCCAUUUCAUCGCAAAAAAAUUUUUCAUCUUUAUGUCAUUCUUGUUCCAUUAAUAAAAUACAUCAACAAUCCUUUCAUGGCACCAGUCUUCAAAGUCAUGCACCCCUUGAACUUAUUUACACGGAUGUGUGGGGUCUAGCUAGUUAUACUGGAAUUGAUGGUUCAAGAUACUAUCUUAUUUUUGUGGAUCACUAUACAAAAUAUAUUUGGUUCUAUCCGAUGGCAACUAAAUCCGGUGUCUCUAAUAUUUUUCCACAAUUCAAAAAGUUUGUUGAAACCCGUUUUCAAAAACCAAUCAAAACACUCUACUCUGACAAUGGAGGUGAGUUUAUUGCUUUAAAAUCUUAUUUCUCACGUCAUGGCAUAACUCACUACACCACUGCUCCAUACACCCCCCAACAAAAUGGCGCUUCUGAAUGCCGUCACCGUCACAUUGUGGAAACGGGCCUUACACUACUUCAAGAUGCAAAUCUUGAUUUUUUGUACUGGCCCUAUGCUUUUCAGACAACAUCCUACCUCAUAAAUCGAUAGCCCACACCACUCCUGCAACACAAAUAACCUUUUGAAGCUCUUUUUGAUCAAACCCCAAGUUAUUUAAAAUUAAAAAAAAUUGGCUGCAUUUGUUAUCCCCUCACACAUCCCUAUAAUUCAAAUAAAAUGCAACCAAAAUCCAGAGCAUGCAUUUUUCUUGGUUAUUCAUCUACUCAAAAUGCAUACAAAUGUUUUGAUCCUCAUUUACAAAAAUUCUUUAUCUCUCGUCAUGUGCUGUUUGAUGAAACUCACUAUCAUUGCACCUCCUCACAAAUCCUGUCCAAACCGGUUAGUCCAGCCAGUCAUCAAGUCACUCCACUGCAUUUUGGUUUCCCGCAGAUCGUUGUGCCACCACCAAUUGUCUCCACAACACCAGCCUCAUCACUGUCUCCGGAAGACUCCCCUGCCAUUGUUGCAUCCUCCCCAGGUAAUUUCAAUACCCUUGCGUCUUCGUUAAAUUUGGAACAACACCCUCCUCUUCACCCUACUGAACUGGACCAUAGUCCAACUUCUCCUCUUCCACAUUCCAUUGUUUCUAGUCCUAUCCCACCCGUCCAUCCUCCUCCUCGCACCCGCACCAUGACCACACGCUCCAUGAACCAAAUCUUCAAACCUAAACAACUUCACAUAGUAACCAAACACCUUCUUCCCCAGACCUUAGAACCAACUUGUGUGAGCCAAACCAUUACUCAACUUCACUGGCGUGAGGCUAUGUCAAAUGAACUCAUUGCUCUAAUGAAACAUGGAACAUGGGACCUAAUGCCAUUACCUCCCAACUGUGCACCCGUGGGUUGCAAGUGGAUCUUUUGGGUAAAAAAGAAUGCAGAUGGCUCUGUCGAUAGAUUCAAAGCCCGCCUAGUUGCUAAGGGUUUUCAUCAACGUCCAGGGGAUGAUUAUACGGAAACGUUCAGCCCUGUAGUAAAACCAGCAAUUAUAAGAGUUGUAUUAUCUAUUGCAGUCAUGCGUGGCUGGGAAUUACAUCAAAUGGAUGUCAACAAUGCAUUUCUUAAUGGUGCAUUAACUGAAACUGUCUUCAUGGUACAGCCUCCGGGGUUUAGAGAUUUGUCCAAACCUAACCAUGUCUGCAGGUUGAACAAGGCCAUCUAUGGCCUUAAACAAGCACCUAGAACUUGGUAUACAGCACUCAAAACUGCUAUUCUUCAGAUGGGAUUCCACACCUCCAAGGCAGACUCUUCUCUAUUCAUUUACAACAAUGAAUCCAAUCUCUGCUACUUACUGGUUUAUGUUGAUGAUCUUGUCAUAACAGGGAACAAUCCCACGCUUUUAACCACCUUCACUCAGCAGCUAAGAGAUAUGUUUUCUCUCAAUGACAUGGGACCUCUUCACUUUUUUCUGGGUGUUGAAGUCAUUCCCACCAAGGUCGGCUUAUUCCUCACACAACAUAAAUAUGUUCGUGAGCUUCUCGCUAAUAGCAACAUGAGUGGUGCCAAAUAUAUCUCCACGCCUCUGUCCACAUCACAGUCACUUCAACUGGUUGAUGGCACCGUUGCUGUGGAUAGCUCAGAAUUUUGCCGCAUUAUGGGCAGCCUUCAAUACCUCUCUUUGACGUGACCAGAUAUUUCAUUUUGCAGUUAACAAACUCUCUCAAUUUAUGCACAAGCCCACUACAACUCACUGGACAGCAACCAAACGGCUUCUAUGAUACUUAAAACAAACCAUUUUCUAUGGUAUUCAGGUUCACAGAGCUAGACCUUCAGUGUUACACACAUAUUCUGAUGCCGAUUGGGCUGGGAAUAUGGAUGACCGCACGUCGACGUCUGCAUAUAUCAGUUUCUUAGGACCUAAUCCCAUUUCAUGGACAUCCAAGAAACAAAGAGCAGUUGCACGCUCCUCAACGGAGGCUGAAUACCGGGCACUGGCUAAUGCGGCCUCAGAAACAAUUUGGUUGUCCACUCUCUUCAAAGAACUUGCAUUUCCAAUCCAAGACUCUCCUCUGCUGUUAUGUGAUAAUCUAGGAGCCACACACCUCAGCUUCAAUCCAGUGAACCAUUCACGCAUGAAACAUAUUCAAAUUGAUCUCCACUUUGUACGAGAUUUGGUGCAACAAGGAAGUCUUCAGGUUAGACAUGUACACACACAAGACCAACUCGCAGAUCUGUUAACCAAGCCACUGUCCAAACAACGAACGACUGUGUUACGUAACAAGAUUGGUCUUGCCGAUGGAAGCUCAAUCUUGCGGAGGCGUAGCAGGGAAACAUGUAGAGAAUCUGCUCAAAUCAACACAAAGAAGGAAUAGCAAAAAAUCAUGUCACAGACUCUGCCAUCAACGCUAUAUUUGGAACGUAAAAUCUGCAGCUGUAUAUUGUAAUAGCACAGUUUUAGCAUUACCAUUUAUUUAUUUCCAAAACUGAUUCCACGCUGCUGUAUAUAUUGCACACAAUAAUUAUCAAUAAGAUGAGGUGAAUUACUUAUUGAAACAACUGUUGUGUUGAGUCUCUAUAGUUUCAAGGGUAUAAUGAUUAUUUGUACUGUGUACUAAAUAUCUUUCGUGAAAAUUUGAGUAAAAAUCUUUAACUUGAUCUUUUGACACCCUAUUCAGUUUUAUAUCUCGAGUUAUAAAAUUUAAACUCAUAACUUUAUAUCUCGAAAGUGGUGAGCAAAUAUAUAUCUUUAAAGUGAUGGGUUAUUUGUAUCUAUAUCUCUGUGAUUUUGUACCUUAAAGAGGCGAGCAUAAACCAUUAUUUAUGUGAGUGAAUUGUUUCUAGUCUAUAAUCCGAUUAUCUUUGGUAUCAUAAGCUGCUUCACCUCUAACUUCUUUCUAUUUACAACAUUACUAAUAUAAUAUUUUCCGUCAGUAAUUCCAUUAUUAUUUACUAAUUUUCUCAUAGUGAAUUAAAGCUUCUUCUUUUAUAUUUUUUUUACAAGACAAUAGUUGAUCUCUGUCCAGGUUCUGUUGAUUGUGUUGUUAUACUUCUUGUUUCAUGUUGUUUUGAUCAACCUUUAUAUAUUAAGAUUUUUAAUGUGCAGCUUAUGUUAAUGUUAUUCGAUGAAAACCCUUAGAAUAAAACCAUUCUAGUAUAUCAAGAAUCUGCAAAUAGAUGAGGUUUACCAACGUAGCAAUACACAAACUUUAAGGAUUUGUUUCCACACCCAACUAAUAGUCGAGCACUUUUAGUCCAAGAUUAGCAUGGCAUUUAAGAUGGUAGAAGUAGCAGCAGCUUUAAACUUUGAAUUUCCAUAAAACAAUUGUUUUACGGUGAGAUUAUAUAACUUUAUGAAGCAUUAACAUUAAAAUAAAUAGAAAUAAAAAGAAUGAGUAUCAAACUCAAAACAAAUACAAACCAGAGGACACAACUGAAUUCUUAAAGGCCUGACACAAAUACGAAAGUUUAGGAAAAAAAAAAAAGGUAAGAGAAAAAAAACUCAUCGCCGCCCGACUUGCCCAACACGCCACCUUAAAAGUUGCGCCACAACCCUGCGCUUCAGAUGAGAUGGCGACCGGAUUUUUUUUUUCCAUCAGAAUUGUCUUCACGCGCCUCUAUAAGAAAAGCUUGGAGGACUUUGAAGUGCUGAUGCAUACAUGGCUUACGUCAUCAUAUUUUAUUCAUUUAUUAAUGUUUUUAUACGACAAAUUAUGAAAAGGGGUACAAGGACAUAUCAUUAUUAUAAAAAAAGCGAUGAGACAAAGAUAAAAAUGCCUUUCAAGUCAUUCUUAAAUUUUGAAAAGUAAAAGGAUAAGUAUAUAAUUUUAGUGCGCAAAAAAAAAUAUUGUACAUGAUGGGACCUUUGGUAUCUUCAAUAACUUGGGUGUGGAUUAUCAUUGUGUUCCAAACUUCUUCAAAACUUUGCUAUCGUACAUGAUGGGACCUUUGGUAUCUUCAAUAAUUUAACUAUCUCACACAACACCUAAAACACGACUCCCGUGUCAGAAUCUUGAAGAACUCUGAUGUGCUGAUGCAUACCUGCCCACGUCAUUAUAUUUUAUUGUAUCAGAGUCCAUGCAAACCCAGCUAGUACUAUGAGAGGCCCCCACAAAUUUGUUUUUGGAGACAAAGAUCUUUUCUUUUAUUCUACCGUACCCAUCAAUAAUUUAUUUCUCCUCAACCCUUCUCUAUCGACACAGCGAAGAAAUAUUAAAGAAUUGAUGUGAAGUUGGGUGUGGAAACUUUGGUAUCUUCAAUAAUUCCACGAUCCCACACCAAAGGAAACACGGUUCACGCAUCAAAGUCAUGAAAAGCCAUGUUGGAGUUGCAUUUUUGCAAGGAACAUGACAAAACUGAAUCGAGCCAGGAUAGAGUUUUUGGUAAGUGAGCACCCUUAAAAAAAUAUAUAUUUUGUAAAAUAACAUAAUAUUUAGAAAUCUAAUAUAAUUGAGAGUGUUAUAAUUGGCAUGUGUGUCCGUUAGUCACAAAUGCCUUCUGAACCUCCAUUAUUGCAUAUACAUUCUACAACAUGCAAGUCGUAGAUGUCAAUCGCAACUUGCGUAUUGCAAAAGGUAUCUUCGACUCCUUUCACAUAAACAUCCUGUGAUAGUUUAAUUUGUCAUCAUCUCUCUUUCCUAAAAAAGCUGCAAUGUGCACAAUCAUAAAUAAUGAAUUUCCAAACAUCAAAAUACAAUUCACAUGAGCAGUACAUAACCAAGUUAUGAAUCAAUAUGUUGAGUCAUCCAAAUGUAACUAAGUUAAUAUCAAAAAAUAAUUUAAAAUAAAAUAAAAUAUAAAUCAAGCUCUAGAUCGUAAGGAUUUUGAAUUGACCUGCAAGAUAUUAUUUUUAUGUUAAGCCAUGUUUAAUAUUAUGUUCCAAGCCUUUACAACUCAUCCUUGUUGUUUUAAAAUUAGGUCAAAAUGUGUUUUACUAUUCACUCUUGGUAUUUAGGGUAAAUGGACUCAACAUGGAUCAUUACAUUUUAUAUUAAAAGUAUUAGUUGUUUCUUUUGAUUUUAAAUAAAAAAACAAGUCUUAAAAAUAUCUAAGUCCAAUAUUGCCUAAAGUAUGUGUGCCACUAGAUCCCACCACUAAUGUGUGUUUUGGUGGGAGGUGUGGUGGUUUUUUUUCAUUGAAAAACAUAUAUUCUUUGCUUUUAGGAGGUGUUGUGUGUGCUUUAAAAGGGUUGUACCUUUGAAAAAAAACCUCCCACCCAAACACUCCCUAAGUAGAUUAACCCACAAUAGUUAAUGCUUGGACAUUUUAGGAUCAGGGUACAAAACCCUUAUUCAGUAAAAAUUACGAGUAGACCCUGGUACUAUAGGAUAAAUGAACUUGAACGGGGCAUUAUCCAUAGAGCACCGUUGCAUAAACAAAUUGUUUGGCGACAUCUCAUCCUAGGAUUUGAACUGGGUUUAAUGAACCUAACAUAGACCCGUUCAAUUAUUCACUAGCAUGGCUUUAUAAACUAUUAAUAAUCACGGGUCAUGAUCUGGAGUAAAUAGGGAUAUAAAUAUCAAUUCCCCAAACAAAUUGUUUGGCGACAUCUCAUCCUAGGAUUUGAACUGGGUUUAAUGAACCUAACAUAGACCCGUUCAAUUAUUCACUAGCAUGGCUUUAUAAACUAUUAAUAAUCACGGGUCAUGAUCUGGAGUAAAUAGGGAUAUAAAUAUCAAUUCCCCAAACAAAUUGGAAGUAACAAAAAUAACUAGAACUUUAGAACGGAUAGGAAUAAAACCUACAGUAGGUUUAACUCAUUACAAUAGAUCCAUGUGGAUACACCAUCGGUAGAUUGGGCAUAAUAGACUAUUAGGGAUAAAAGACAAGUAGCAAUGGAAUUUACUAUAGGUACGAUACUUUAGGGUGGUAAUACAUUUCCUUUAACGUAACAAGUACCCCUUAUCUUAGAACUCUAAAAACUAAUUAGGGUUUUGUCGUAACCAUAAUUAAUGUGGAUCAGCCCACGAACACCAGUAAGUAUCUAUUGCAUGUUUUAAAUGGGCCAAUUACAAGGUCCAAAAUAAAGGCAUUGAAAGAAGUAUUAAAUAGACUAGUCUUGCAAGUUUCGGCCAAUGCAGAAAUUAGAGGUCCAUUGGAGCAUCGAGAGGAGGCCUUAGCACAUUUAAUUAUUUUGCAAGAGGGGUCAAAUCCCACCAUAUUUGAAAAGAUAAAAUCGACAAAAAUAGAUUUGAAAAAAAAUCAUAGCAAAAAUUCAAAAAAAAAAAAAAAACAGAAAAAAGAAAGCAAAACAUUGUGGAUUACUAUUGUAAUCCACAAUGAGUGUUGGAUGAACAAUGGUUUUCCCCAUAUCCUUUAGUUUUUGUUACUUCAUAAAGUUUAAUAAUAUGGUUUUUCUAUAAAACUAUUUUCUUAUUAACAAUAUAAGAAAAAAAUAGACUAUAAAAAAUCAAGUUUAAUUAAAAAAAAACGCCACCAAAUCCAUAAAUUGGGAUAACGUGGGUUCCCUUGACAAACCCGGAAACCACGCUAACCUCAUAGAAAGACAAAAGAAAAGAAAAAAAAUUACAAAAUUAAAUUCUUAACCAUUUCAAUAUUAAAAAAUAAAAUUGAUAAAAAUAUAUAUUUUUUAAAUCAUAACAAAGAAACAAAAAGAAAAGGAAAAAAAAAACUAUGUGUUCAAAAAAUAAAAACAAUGUGCGGAUUAGCAGCUUUAAAUUUUGAACUUACAUAAAACAAAAUAAAAAAAAAGUGAGAUUAUAUAACAAUUAUUCAUUAUUUGUUAGUAGAAAAGAAGGAAAAUUGAAACGGCAGAAUAAAAAGAAGUGUUGUAACAUUGUUUUACUUUUUACCGGUUCACUCGUGGGUCAACUCGCAUGAACAGGAUCCAGUCUCUUAGCUAUGCCUAAAGGAGACUCAACUCAUCUUUUAAAACCAUGACCAUAGGUCAUUAACCCACACAUGCAUUAGAUUUCAUUGUAUAAAAUUAAUAUUUAGUUGCUUAGGAGCUCCAAUUUUCAAUUAAAUUUCAUUGUAUAAAAUUAAUAUGUUGUUACUGUUAAAGAGAUUGUAUUCUCAAGUGCCGAAAAUCAGGGUUGAGUGUUUUAUAUUAAGAUACAAGCUGCUUGUUAAAAAUAAUUUUAAUACAUGAGAAUGAUUUUUUUAAAAAUAAAUUUAACAUGAACAAAUAAAAAUUAUUAAAAAACAUUAAAAAAUAUAAAUUUAAUAUUUUUUCCAAGUCAAAAUAAACACAAUAAGUAUCUCAUUUUAUCGUGCAGUCAUGUCUAUAUCUCUAUUUAGAGUUAAUCACUUGUGAUGGUGCUCAAUCAUUUUACUACAAAAGCGUCAUUAACUACACGAUUUUACACAAAAACAACAUAAGAUUAAAGUAACAAGUUCUCUCUGGAGAUCAUGAGUUCGAGUCUCAAAAAUCUCAGGAUUAUUGAAGGUUUUUAUGGUCGUUAAUUUUAAGGCCUGUGGGAUUAGUCGAGGUGCGUGUAAGCUAACCCGGACACCUACAUUAUCAAAAAAAAAAAAGAAGUAACAAGUUCUCAAUGCCCUCCAAAAGCACACAUGAGACUAUGGAGAUCGAAUGCAUGAGAAUACAAUUGCCACAAAAAAGAUACAGCUCUAUAUAAAGUAACUUGAGUUUAUUCUCUACUGGAUCUGAGCUCACUUGAAGAGUUUCCAGUAAAUUUUCAGUCAUUUCCUCUUACCUCAUCGCUAAUUAUAUAUUCUACUAUUGGAUGCAUUUGACUGGUGAUAAAAUGCAUCAUUGGUUUCUUUCACAUAAUGCUACAGUUAGAUCUUGAUAAACCAUCACCAUCACCACCAUCACCAUCACCAUCACCAUCACCCAAGAUCACUAUUUAUGCCCGCAACUAGCAGUCCCUUUUUAAGGAUUUUAAGCACCUUGGUUCGCUAUACAUACACCCUUUUCUUUUUCAAGCUGCAGCCGCCACUCAAAGCUCAUCUACAACUAUGCCCAGUCAAGAAUUGGGGCCUCACAAUCACUAGCCAAUAUGUGCAAUAUGCUUUUCUCUCAUGCCUUUCUUCGUCUCAUGCCUUUUUAGAUAUUCUGGUGUCCUAGGCGUAAAGGAACCACACCAAUCCAUCCCACAAAUUUGCUUUUGGAGACAAGAUCAUCCUUUCUUUUAUUCCACCGUACCCAUCAAUAAUUUAUUUCUCCUCGACCCUUCUCUAUCAACCAAAAAAAAAAAAACUACUAUUAAAGAGACCACACAACGAAAAAAUAUUAAAGAAUUGAAGUGAAGUUGUAUCUUCAAUAAUUCCAUUAUCUCACACCGCAUAAAACACGGUUCACGUAUCAAAGUCAUGAAAAGCCGAGUUGCAUUUUUCCAAGGAACAUGACAAAACUGAAUCUAGCCAGGAUAGAGUUUUUCCUUUUUACCAGUUCACUCGUAAAACUGAACCCGACACCUGAAUGUUUUACUUUUUACCAGUUCACUCGUGGGUCAAAUCGCAUGAACAGGAUCCAGUCUCUUAGCUAUGCCUAAACACUACUAAAAACAGGGGCAUUAGCAUCUGAAUUUAGCAACGGAUAAUUCCGUUGCUAAAUUCAGUAACAGAUUUGCAACGGAUUAAAUAUAUAUUAUUUUUUUAAUAUUAGCAACAGACUUUAGCAACGGAAAAUCCGUUGCUAAAAACAACAUAAAGUUUACAACGGAUUAUCUGUUGCUAAUUUAAAAAAUAAUUAUUUAAAUAUUAAUAUAAAAUUAAAAUUAUAUAGACCGUUGAUUAUUUUUGAUAUAAUAAAAUCACAACCGUUUAAUUUUGCCCCCCUACUAAUUCAACACCUGCCAACCCCCCCUACUAAUUCAACACCUGCCCCCCGUUUCUAAACAAAGAAAAAACCAACAGUUGACAAUUAAUUAAUUCCCAGUCUCCUUCGUCCCUAACACCCCCCCCACGGUUUCUAAAUAGAGAAAACAAAACCAACAGUUGAAAACACAGUUGGGUUAAUUUUUUUUCAAAAUUAAACAAAACCAAUAACUGAUUUUCCUUUUGUCCCAAACUUUUCAUCUUCUUCUCAUUCGUUUUCAGCAUUGUUAAUUUUUUUUCCUUCAUCUUCUUCUCCUUCAUCUUAACAGUUUCAAUCUUUCUCUGUAAACCACCAAAAACACAGACCCAUGGCAACAUCGCACCAGACCCAUCAUUAUCACCCUUUCUCUUUGUAAACGGGUUGGGUUUUGCACUCUCUUCUUCAAUAAAUCAGGUAAUUAAUUUAGGAUUUAUAUUUUUCUCCGUUGCAAUUUAACUUACACUAACAAGUUUUAACCUAACUUUCACAAUCUCAGGUGUUGUUCUGUCGUGUAGAUUCAUCUCGCUCAUCUAUAACUCAAGAACACAGGUAACAAUUUUUUUUUGUCGAUACUUUGAAUAAUGGUUUUAGGCUAUUAAUUCGAUAAUAUAAGGUUUAUGAAAUGUUUUUACCAUGAUCUAUAACCUAAUUAUGCAUGUUUAAUUGAAAAUUUAUCAAAACCCCCAAUUUAAUUUUUAGGGUUACGGUUCAUAAAUUGAAUGAUUUUAGGCAACUGGACCAAUGCUGGUAAUUCAUGUGUCUGGAAGAGAGUGAUUGAUGGAAAUUAUGCAUGUUUAAUUGAAAAUUUAUCAAAACCCCCAAUUUAAUUUUUAACAAGUAGUCUUAUUGAUGCUGGGUGUUCUUUAGGAGCAAGGUGGCUGGUUGAAUUGAGUGUUAGCUUUGCAGUUUUUUUGUGUAAUUUAUUUUUCAUGCCUUGAGAGAUCCUUUCCCACCUAAUUGCCAUGGAAAAAUCACUCACAUCCGCAAAGGUCAGAUUGUUUGCUUCCUUGCAAUCUCUUAAACUGUGCUUUUUUAUUUAUUAGUUUCAAGAAAAUUAAAUAAAUAAAUCUCUAAACUUUGAUUGCAGGGAGGAGAUUUGUGAAGCCAUCAAAUUUUACGAAGGAGAUGGAUGCUGAUAGGGUAUGAUUGCUCAAUUUUGUAAACUGUUACUGCUUGAUAAUAUUGUUAAAAGUCAAUUAGCAGAUGCUCUGACUUGCAUUGGAAAUUUUGUAUUUCCUUACUGAUAGAUUACUAUAUUUAUUGAUUUGAAAACCAGUGUACCUGUAAGGGUGAAGCAGGUACUACAGAUUUGUUUUGUAUUCACAGCCUCUUUAAGAUGCACUUUGAUUUAUUGAAGAGUUUAAAACCCAGAUAAACUUGUUCUUUGGGUGAUAAUUAUGCAUCUAUUACUGAUUACCAACGCUCUUAUUACAGUGGGCGCUGAGUAUGAGCUGACGCUAUAACUGGUCCAGUUUUGUUAGAUUUGGUGGCUGGUUCAGCUAUCCACUUUAUGCAGUUCUGGAGAAAUUUUCUGUGUGUUUUUGUCAUCUGCUUUUUUUUAAUAUAGUUUUUUCCAGCUGCAGAAUUUGAUUAUUGUGGAGAUGUAAGGGAUGGUUAUUUUCCCAUAUGUGGAGAUUAUACUGUGCAACUGCUCUUAUAGAAUCCAAGCCAGUCCUCUGCUCCUUCUUCAUCUUUUAUUCCUUUUAUCUGUUUUUUUUUAAUGAGGAUGUGCAAGAAUUGCUGUAUUUUUUUAACUCAAAUAGUGAUCGAAGUUCAGCCCAAGUCCCAAUGCAAAUCACUGCUAGCAAUGGUAUGGCUAGUGUAAAUAACUCACUCACCACAGCAUCUACAACCACGUCUGCCAGCACUAUUAUGGGGCUUCUCCACCAAAAUUCAAUGAAUAAUGCAAGCAGUCCCUAUGGAGGAAACUCUGUUCAGAUUCAAUCUCCUGGUUACUCCACCUUGACCACUAUAUCCUGGUUCAUUUUGUGUAGAUCCAAAAUAUCAUGGUUCGUCUCCGCAACCAGCACCAUGAUUGUAUCUUUUGUUGUUUUUUUUUAUUGUAUUUCAACUUAUUUGUAUUAAUUCAAGUUUAACUAAAUUUUUAUAAUAUGAAUAUUAUUUUUAUUCCAUUUUUUAUUAGUGAUACAAUUAUUUUUAAUAUUAAUUUAUGUUGGUUAUAUAUAUUCCACAAUUUUUAAAAUAUCCAUAAAUAAUUAAUUAAACAAAUUAAAAGUCAUUUUGAUAAAUAAAUAAAAAAUUAAUUUAUUAAAAAUAAUAUAGUCAGCAACGGAUAAUCCGUUGCUGAUUGUAAAUAAUUCAUCAAUCAGCAACGGAUAAUCCGUUGCUGAUUCACAAAACCAGCAACGGAUUUUCCGUUGCUAAAUUAGCAACGGAAAAUCCGUUGCUAAUUUUAGCAAUGGAAUUUCCGUUGCUAAAAAAUCAGCAACGACAAAUUUGCAUAUGAUAUUUGUCGUUGCUGAUUCCGUUGCUAAAUUGUUUUAGCAACGGAUUUUAAUGUUAUUUGCAACGGAUUAGUUAGUUGCUAAUUACUAUAUUUUUUAGUAGUGAAAGGAGACUCGACUCAUCUUUUAAAACCAUGACCAUAGGUCAUUAACCCACACAUGCAUUAGAUUUCAUAGUAUAAAAUUAAUAUUUAGUUGCUUAGGGGCUCCAAUUUUCAAUUAAAUUUCAUUGUAUAAAAUUAAUAUGUUGUUACUGAUAAAGAGAUUGUAUUCUCAAGUGCCAAAAAUCAGGGUUGAGUGUUUGAUAUUAAAAUACAAGCUGCUUGUUAAAAAUAAUUUUAAUACAUGAGAAUGUUUCACCCAACCUAGUUUGCAUUUGCCCCUCUAAAGCUGCUAUCAUUAAUGAAUAAUGAUUUAGUUGAUCUCAAACAACCUGCAUCUCCUGAUCAUCAUCAUAGAGAUUGUAUUGGCCAACUACUCCACAAUUCUCUUCACGAUUUGCCUUUGAUCCGGAUGUUGACCUGCUCUAAUACCACCUGACACAACAUAUAGCGAAGAUAAAACUAGAGAAAAAUUUCCACCUGACACAGCCUGUAUCCCUUGAUCAUCGUCAUGGAGAUGGUUCUCUAGCUUUAAGGUUACAAAUCAAACUGUAGAGAAAUCUAGAGAAAUUUUUCAGGUAUUUUUAUUGAAUCUAAAUAAUACUAUUAAUCUCUAUAAAAUAAAUUAGACAUCUCUUAUUUUAUUUAUUUAUAAAUUGGUGCUUCUACUAAUGUUGUAUCUACUGAUAUGGUAAGCAAUCUCAACCUUAAGAUGGAAGCAUAUCCUCAUCCCUACAAAUUGAGAUGGUAGGAAAAGAAGCAUGAACAUAAAGUAACAAAUAGAUGUCUUGUUUUAUUUUUCUUUGGAAAACAAAUAGUGGUGUGAUAUAAUUCAUAUGGAUGCAUGUUAUUUGUUGUUUGGUCAUUCAUGUAAUAUGAUAGGAAAGUUCAGCAUGAUGGCGUUAAGAAUAAUUAUUCUUUUAUGAUGUAGUAGUGAUUGUUUUAGUUUUUAAAUUUUUUAUGUAUUUGUUUAUAUUUUCAACAAGUCAAAAAUAUGUGUUAGUUAUUAUUUGUCUAGAUUCAAGUCAAAGUUAUUUAUUUUGAUCUCAAUUAUGUCAUUUUUGUUUUUCUCUAAAUUUGGAGGGUUGUUUCAAGGAUAUAAUGAUCAUUUGUACUGUGUACUAAACAUAUUUGGUGAAAAUUUGAGUAAAAGUCUUUAACUUUAUCUUUUGACACCCUAUUCAAUUUUAUAUCUCCCUGCGAGUUAUAAAAUUUAAACUCAUAACUUUAUAUCUCUAUGAUUUUGUACCUUUAAAAGGUGAGUAUAGACCAUUAUUUAUGUGAGUGAAUUGUUGCUACUCUUUAAUCCUAUUAUCUUUGGUAUCAUAAGCUGCUUCCACCUCUAACUUCUCCAUAUUUACAACAUUACUAAUAUAAUAUUUUCCGUCAGUAAUUCCAUUAUUAUUUGCUAAUUUUCUGAUAGCGAAUUAAAGCUUCUUCUUAUAUAUUUUUUUUUACAAGACAAUAGUUGAUCUCUGUCCAGGUUCUGUUGAUUGUGUUGUUAUACUUCUAGUUUCAUGUUGUUUUGAUCAACCUUUAUAUAUUAAGAUUUUUAAUGUGCAGCUUAUGUUAAUGUUAUUCGAUGAAAACCCUUAGAAUAAAACCAUUCUAGUAUAUCAAGAAUCUGCAAAUGGAUGAGGUUUACCAACGUAGCAAUACACAAACUUCAAGGAUUUGUUUCCACACCCAACUAAUAGUCGAGCACUUUUAGUCCAAGAUUAGCAUGGCAUUUAAGAUGGUAGAAGUAGCAGCAGCUUUAAACUUUGAAUUUACAUAAAACAAUUACGGUGAGAUUAUAUAACUAUUAUUCAUUAUUUGUUAGUAGAAAAGUAGGAAUUCAAACGACAUAAUGAAAAAAUAGGGGUGCUAUGCCUAGAGGAACUCAUCAUUGUUUUACUUUUGAUCGGUUCACUCCUGAGUCAACUCGUUUGAUUCAUGAAUCAUGGACUGGAUCCAGCCUCUCGCCUAUGCCUAGAGGAACUCAUCUUUUAAAACAUUAAAUUUCGAGUCAAACAUAAUUUUAAAAUAUACGUACCACGAUAAUGUCUCGCUUCAUCCGGAAGCCAUGUGUAUAUGAGUUAGUCUUGCUUGAAAUGAAAUCAGUUGUGAUGGUGCUCAAUGAUUUUACUAGAAAAGCUUCAUUAACCACAUGAUAUUUUACACAAAAGCAGCUUAAGAUUAAACAAGUUCUCAAUGCCCUCCAAAAGUUCACAUGAGACUAUGGAGAUCGAAUGCAUGAGAAUACAAUUAUUGCCACAAACAAGAUACAGCAAUAUAAAGUAACUUGAGCUUAUUCUCUACCGGAUCUGAGCCCACUUGAAGAGUUUCCAGUAAAUUUUCAGUCAUUUCCUCUUACCUCAUCGGCAAUAUUUAUUGUACGAUUGGAUGCAUUUGGCUGGUGAUAAAAUGCAUCAUUGGUUUCUUUCACAUAAUGCUACAGUUAGAUUUUGAUGAACCUUCACCAUCACCAAUACCAUCACCAAUAUCAGUACUUAUGCCUUCAAGAUCACUACUAGUUAUGCCUGCAACUUGCAGUCCCUUUUUAAGGAUGUUAAGCACCUUGGUUCGCUUCUGAAAUAAAAGAUAAUACGCAGAUAUAUUAGAGGCUGAGUUCAUAUUUUUAUAAGCAAACAUAUUUUUAUACUUAAUAUAGUAUUUAUUUAUCAAUUAGAUGGAGAGAAUAUUUGUAUUAAUGAAAAUAUGAGGAUUCCACUAGUUAUUUUGAAGCCAGUCUUGAAAAUAUAAUUAAUCUCUUCAUCCAGAGAAUUAAAGAACUUAAAUCAAUACGAAGAAUGGGAAUUCAAAUGUAAAGCAGAGAAGAAAUAUAAUAAUAAAACAAAACCCAAUGUUGAAGGAAACUCCAUACGUAAUGCUCCAUAAACAAUGAGUUAUCAGUGAAUUUUGGCAAAUGUAUAGUAAUAAAUAGUAAAAAUAUCUUAUUGUUUUAGUUUCUAAAAUUAAUUACCUGAAUGGGGGCCGCUUGUGUCGCGCUCCUGCUUCGACAAAGUAAAGUAUAGUUAUCGCAGAAGAUGUGCCCAUCGUUGUGUCUGAACUUUUUACCACCAUAACAAUCACAACAAACAUCAAAGGUGCUAACUGAAUCAUCAUCAUUGAAGAAACACUGAGAGCAAGUGAAGUAUGCUCCUGCCAAGAACGUCUUACAAGACUGGCAAAUUAUAGCCCUUCCACUCUGCAUGAUGUAGUACAAGACGAUUGCUUCAUCAAAAUCCAAGGUUCCAUUGCCAUCCUUGUCCAGCGCUGUAAACAAGCUUGGAAGAACCGUGUUGUUAUCUUUCUUGAGAUACUCCACGUAUUCAUCUAGGUUAAUUUUCCCGUCUUUGUUUUUGUCCAUUUCAUUGAAAGAAAAUCUGGCAUUUCUCUUCUCCUCAUCGGGCAGAUUCUCAUAAUAAGCUCCAGCAGCCCGGCGAAUCUCCUCCAUAUCUAUUUAUGCGUGUAAUAUUUAAGAGGAAGAAGAUUUAAGAGGAUAACGGAAGAGGUAGCUUAGAUCAACAAUUUUAACACUCCAAAGGGACUUUGGUCUGCAUCUGAUCACAAAGCUCUCAUGUUCGAUAGUGAUUUAUAGUACUGGCAAGUGACCACAAAAUGAAGAAAUAUUAAAGAAUUGAAGUGAAUUUGGGUGUGGAUUAUCAUUGUGAAUUUGUAUGGGACCUUUGGUAUCUUCAAUAAUUUAACUUUCUCACACAACACAUGAA